This 522-nucleotide ribosomal RNA is filed under the name uncultured bacterium. RNAcentral describes it as "bacterial SSU rRNA". It matches the Rfam family "Bacterial small subunit ribosomal RNA", at positions 210 to 716 of the family's 1533-position model. The record is from RNAcentral.
CCCUCGCGCGAUUGGAGCGGCCGAUGUCGGAUUAGCUAGUUGGUAGGGUAAAAGGCCUACCAAGGCGACGAUCCGUAGCGGGUCUGAGAGGAUGAUCCGCCACACUGGGACUGAGACACGGCCCAGACUCCUACGGGAGGCAGCAGUGGGGAAUUUUGGACAAUGGGCGAAAGCCUGAUCCAGCCAUGCCGCGUGAGUGAAGAAGGCCUUCGGGUUGUAAAGCUCUUUCAGCCGGAAAGAAAUCGCGCAGGAUAAUACUCUGCGUGGAUGACGGUACCGGAAGAAGAAGCACCGGCUAACUACGUGCCAGCAGCCGCGGUAAUACGUAGGGUGCGAGCGUUAAUCGGAAUUACUGGGCGUUAAAGCGUGCGCAGGCGGUUAUGUAAGACAGAUGUGAAAUCCCCGGGCUUCAAACCCUGGGAACUGCGUUUGUGACUUGCAUAACUAGAGUACGGCAGAGGGAGGUGGAAUUCCGCGUGUAGCAGUGAAAUGCGUAGAUUAUGUCGGAGGAACACCGAUGGC